Molecule: non-coding RNA, 73 nt
Organism: Salarias fasciatus (jewelled blenny)
Lineage: Eukaryota; Metazoa; Chordata; Actinopteri; Blenniiformes; Blenniidae
Source: the annotation of a RefSeq genome assembly
GUUUCUGUGGUGUAGUGGUCAUCAUGUUCGUCUCACACACAAAAGGCCCCCUGUUCGACCCAGGGCGGAAACA